GCUUGGUGGUCGAGUGGUAAGGACAUUUGCCUCUCACGCUGGAGUUCCGGGUUCGAUCCCUGGUCGAGGUGCU
Non-coding RNA from Rhamnusium bicolor, 73 nucleotides. Lineage: Eukaryota; Metazoa; Arthropoda; Insecta; Coleoptera; Cerambycidae. The record is from the annotation of a GenBank genome assembly.